GUUCUGGAUGGCCUCUUUUUGUUUGGAUCAUCUUGACCUUAAUAUUGCAUAAGUAGAAGCAAUUACUAGUCUUGUUGUCUCCUUAUGCCUCUAUUUUCUUACUAUCCUGUUGUUGUUACUGCAUAUGUCUACAUAAAUGUUGUGUUUUUUGCUUUUGUUGAGUCGAGACUCGAGGGUUUAUCGGAAACAGUCUCUCUACCUGCCAAGGUAGGGGUAAGUCUGGGUACACUCUACCCUCCCCUGAGCAGGCUGUUUAUUCCAAUCUGCUUGGAAUAUCUGGUUAGCAAUUUUGUGAAGUUAUUUUAGCUAAAUGAGUGUAUGUAACUUGGUUGUGAGAUGUAUUUUGA
RNAcentral lists this unclassified non-coding RNA (347 nucleotides) under Hevea brasiliensis (rubber tree). The record is from RNAcentral. Lineage: Eukaryota; Viridiplantae; Streptophyta; Magnoliopsida; Malpighiales; Euphorbiaceae.